GGAAUUCGAUUACCGCGAAGAACCUUACCUGGCCUUGACAUGUCUGGAAUCCUGCAGAGAUGCGGGAGUGCCUUCGGGAAUCAGAACACAGGUGCUGCAUGGCUGUCGUCAGCUCGUGUCGUGAGAUGUUGGGUUAAGUCCCGCAACGAGCGCAACCCUUGUCCUUAGUUGCCAGCACGUAAUGGUGGGAACUCUAAGGAGACUGUCGGUGACAAACCGGAGGAAGGUGGGGAUGACGUCUAGUCAUCAUGGCCCUUACGGCCAGGGCUACACACUUACUACAAUGGUCGGCCCAGAGGGUUGCAAUACCUCGAGGUGCAGCCCCUCCCAGAAAGCCGACCCCAGUCCGGAUUGGAGACUGCCACUCCACUCCCGAAGUCGGAACCGCUCGUACUCGCCGAUCAUUUAUGCUGCGGUGACUACCUUCCCGGGCCUUGUACACACCG
Molecule: ribosomal RNA, 446 nt
Filed under: Dyella sp. P114
Lineage: Bacteria; Pseudomonadati; Pseudomonadota; Gammaproteobacteria; Lysobacterales; Rhodanobacteraceae
Description: bacterial SSU rRNA
Rfam family: Bacterial small subunit ribosomal RNA
Source: RNAcentral